RNAcentral lists this long non-coding RNA (2651 nucleotides) under Homo sapiens (human). Its description in RNAcentral is "HSALNT0015723". The record is from RNAcentral. Lineage: Eukaryota; Metazoa; Chordata; Mammalia; Primates; Hominidae.
GGGCUAUGUUGCCAGGCUGGUCUUCAGCUCCUGGCCUGAAGCAAUUCUCCCACUUUGGCCUCCCAUAAAGUGCUGGGAUUAUACAUGUGAGCAUUGUGUCCGGCCAACCUCAGUCUUGUAGCUAUAGGUGUUUUUGCUAGAAAUAAUGCAUGUGGUUUACAAUUCUGAUAACAGUGCAAGUGAUGAUACAAUAUACACUUUUUAAAGCUCCCCAGCUUUUAAAGCUGCAUUAGCUCUUCUGCAAUGAAGAAAGCAAGAAGGAAGGAAAUACAGUAGUCCACCCUUAUCCUCGGGAGAUCCCACUGCAGGAUUCCCAGGGGAUGCCUGAAACCAUACAGAGUACUGAUCACUAAAUAAAUAAACACACACACAAACACACACACACAGUUUUUUCCUAUAGGUAUAUACCUAUAAUCAAGUUUAAUUUAUAAAUCUGGCACAGUAACAAAUGAACAGCAAUAACCAAUAAGAAAACGGAACAAUAUACCAUACAAAAGUUAUGUGAACAUGGUCUCGCUCAUUCUCAAAAUAUCUCAUAGUACCGUGCUCACCCUUCUUGUGUUGAAGUGAGAUGAUAAAACGCUUAUAAGAUAAGAUAAAGUGAAUGACUUAGGAAUUCUGAUGUAGCUAAUAUCAACCUUCUGACUAUACCUAAGAAGGGGGAUCAUCUUAGGGUGAUCCUGAAUCACUGAGUCAUGCUGAUGUCCACAGAUGGAUGUCAAAAGCCGAUGAUGUCAAUGACUGACCAAUGGGAGCACGUACAGCGUGGUUAUGUUGAUUCAUAUCCAGGACAGGGUGGUGCAAAAUUUCAUCACGUUACUCAGAACAGUGGACAAUUUAAAACUUAAACUACUAUGGAAGGGACUAUGACUGCUUCUUAGGGUAGCAGAUAUUCUAGAUACUCUUCAGCAAAAUGGACUCCACACUGUAUCUGAUAGGUUUCAAAAGACUUCAAAAAAGGCAUGUUAGUGUACACACAUGACUGGGAUUAACAUUCUAGAAUUUUAGGACUCAAUGGUACACCACUGAGGUAUUGAAAUGAAUUCAACUGUAAAUUUAGAUUAUGGUUCUGAGGUGGAGAUGCAUAAAAAUGAAAACUUAAAACAAAUACCAACACAAUUGGGUAUUUCUGGGUACUAACGUUCCAGGUAAUUAUCUUUCUCGACUUUCAUUUCUAAUGUUAAUAGUUAGCAAUAUCAAUAAUAUUGUUUAUAAAAGAAAUACUGUCCAAACUUUAUUAAGGUGCUCAUGUUAACACUUAAGGUUUCAGAUUUUCAAACUUGGGAUGUUCAAACAGUAGGUAUAAUACAAAUAUUCCAAAAUCCAACAAAAUCUCAAAUCCACAACAUUUCUGUUCCCAAACAUUUUCGUAAAAAAAACCUAAAAAAACAAAAAAACCAAAAAAAACAACUGGCCGGGUGCAGUGGAUCAUGCUUGUAAUCUCAGCACUUUGGGAGAUUGAGGAGGGUAGAUCACAAGGCCAGGAGUUUGAGAACAGCCUGGCCAACAUAGUGAAAUCCUGUCUGUACUAAAAAUACAAAAAAUUAGUCAGGCGUGGUGGCGGGCACCUGUAAUCCCAGCUACUCGGGAGGCUGCGGCAGUAGAAUUGCUUGAACCCGGGAGGGGGAGGUUGCAGUGAGCUGAGAUUGCGCCAUUGCACUCCAGCCUGGGUGACAGUGCGAGAAUCUGUCUCAAAAAAAAAAAAAAAAAAAAAGACCGGGCGCAGUGGCUCACGCCUGUAAUCCCAGCACUUUGGGAGGCCGAGAUGGGCGGAUCAUGAGGUCAGGAGAUCGAGACCACCCUGGCUAACAUGGUGAAACCCUGUCUCCACUAAAAAUACAAAAAAUUAGCUGGGCGUGGUGGCGGGCGCCUGUAGUCCCAGCUACUCAGGAGGCUGAGGCAGGAGAAUGGCUUCAACCCGGGAGGUGGAACUUGCAGUGAGCUGAGAUCGCGCUACUGCACUCCAGCCUGGGUGACAGUGCAAGACUCUGUUUCAAAAUAUAAAUAAAUAAAUAAAUAAAAAUAAAAAACCCUUGGGAGGCGCCGGGGGCAGUAGCUCAAAUCUCAAAUUCAAAACAUUUUUGUUCCCAAACAUUUUCGUAAACAAAACAAAACAAAACAAAAAAACUGGCUGGGUGCAGUGGAUCAUGCCUGUAAUCCCAGCACUUUGGGAGACUGAGGCGGGUGGAUCACAAGGUCAGGAGUUUGAGACCAGCCUGGCCAACAUAGUGAAAUCCUGUCUCUACUAAAAACACAAAAAAUUAGUCAGGUGUGGUGGCGAGCAUCUGUAAUCCCAGCUACUCAGGAGGCUGAAGCAGGAGAAUCACUUGAAUCCGGGAGGCGGAAGUUGCAGUGAGCUGAGAUCACACCACUGCACUCCAGCCUGGGCAACAGAGUGAGACCGCAUCUCAAAAAACAAACAAAAAAAACUCAACCUGUACCCAAACAAAAAUCUCAAAUUUCUUCCGUCUUAAAUAAAAAUUUUUUUUGGCUGGGCGCGGCACAGUGGCUCAUGCCUAAAUCCCAGGAACUUGGGAGGCCAAGACGGGUGGAUCACCUAAGGCCAGGAGUUCAAGACCAGCCUGGCCAACAUGGCGAAACGCUGUCUCUAUUAAAAAUACAAAAAUUAGGCCGGGCGCGGUGGCUCACGC